Molecule: long non-coding RNA, 917 nt
Filed under: Mytilus galloprovincialis (Mediterranean mussel)
Lineage: Eukaryota; Metazoa; Mollusca; Bivalvia; Mytilida; Mytilidae
Source: RNAcentral
GUUUUACCCAACAUUUGUGUUUGGAAAAUACCUCUUCCAAUAUAACAGUUGUUUUCAAGUCGAUCCGCUGUUUGAUAUAGUGGAAUGUUUGCAUAAGUUAGGUUUUAUGAACUUCUUCCAUUUUGAAAUUUACCUUGGAGUACGGUAGUUUUGUAAAUAUUUUGUUCAUGUAAUAAUAACGACAUAGGACCAUUUCAUCCGUAAUACAAGCAAAGUUACAAGUAGUUUAAAUUUCUUAAAUAUUAUAGGUCGCAAUAAGGGAUAUUUCUGUAUUGUAAUCACCAACCAUACAGGACCCAUUUCUGAUACCCAAAAACAUUGACAAAAGCAGCUAGAUAGUUUUCAUUUUUACUUUUUCAAUGUAAAUGCUUGUAACUGAUGCAACUGAACACUAAACAUAAAUUAUGAUUUGAGUUAGAGAGUGACAAGUUUAUGCUAUACAUUAAGAUAUGUCGAGAAGUCAUUCAAUUGACAUGUUUAACUUGAACUAUUAUAACCAAGUAUCACAAGUGCUUAUACAUGUACAAAAGGUGAAGUAUUUUAUACAGAUGAGGCCAUCACAGGUUGUCAGCUGUCUCUUUUUGUUGAUCAUCAUCGAUCAAUCCUUUGCAAAUUGUGUGUGGUUUCUAUUGAAAUUAGAUGCAAAAUUUAUACAUAAUUAAACUUAAAUUAAGCGAAGAAAAUCUUCAAUUUUGAAAUGUUACACAGUUCUUUUCCAGUUAAUGUUUAUUUUGGUAUAUUCCCCAAAAUUAUUCAUAUAUCAAAUCAAUAUGACAGCAACUGCGAGUGUACGUCUAUUCGUUUGAAGAUCUACACUCUGGUGUUUUUAUCUCUUUGUUAGUUGUAUCUGUGAUGAGUUCAUAUUGAACGAAACACUCCCUUUCCGACUGAUUUAUUUUUUACUUCCUUUUGAUUUU